This 1280-nucleotide unclassified non-coding RNA is filed under the name Hevea brasiliensis (rubber tree). The record is from RNAcentral. Lineage: Eukaryota; Viridiplantae; Streptophyta; Magnoliopsida; Malpighiales; Euphorbiaceae.
UUUUUUUUUUUUUUUUUAAAUCAGAUAAGAGGAAUGGAAUGACUUGAUUCACUUGCAUAAACAAGUGAUCAGGCGUAUCAUUCAAGAGAUGAUCCGUCUAAUAAUCAUACACGGUUAUUUUAAACAAAUUUUAUUAUAUAUAUAUUUUAAUAACAUCUAUAUGUGAUCCAAGCUAGAUAUAUCAUAUAUAAAUUAGUAUUAAAAUUGUGUAUUAUAAUUCAUAUUUACUGAAAACGAUAAUUUUAAAUAUGAUUUUGUGAUGAGAUGUCUUAUCCUCUCGUGUGUUCAUAUUCUCCCUAUUUAAAAUGGGGAAAUCACACAUCAUUCACACAAAAAGCAGGCAAGUGAAGUUAAUUACUUUGAUGCUGUGAUAUUGAGAAGUGGUUUCAAUGCAAUCAUUUAUUUGCUUUAGCAAAAGAAAACUACAAAACAUAAAAAAUAUCGAACUUCUCACUAAAUAAAGUCUGGCAAAUUAAGUCUAGUUGGUGAUCCUAGGGACAAAGAAUCAAUAAGACAAAAGAGAACCCAAAAAACCAAAAACCUACAAAUUAUCUUACGACUAAAUGGAUCAAGUUUCAAACAUGACAAAGAAUCAAUAAAAAAAUGCACUGCAAGUUUCAACAGCUCCUUCCCACCAAGAUUUGAGUAAAAACUACAUUUACCUUAAGACCUAGCGGCAAAUAUUGAACAUCCUUUAGUUUUUGUUGAAGAGCUACAAUCACAUUUUCUUCUGACUUCAACCCAACACAUUAUAGAACAUAAACCGCAAUCUUCUAUUUUUAGAAGAUAAAAAGGAAAAAAGAAAAAGGAAUUUUUAGGGUUGGGAAGAAAAGGGAAGAAAAAGGCCGCCCACCCGGGAAUAAAAACAAGUUGGUUCCUUGCGGAUUCUGCGACAGCCACAUGCGGACCUUGAUAGAUAUUACCAUGUGUUACAGAUUGAAGGGGCAUUUGAUAUGUGAGGAAUCGGUGUAGCCUCCACCUAAAUGGUUGGUGGGAAUGGAAAAGAAAUCUUCUCCAACAGCAACCCAAAAGAGUUAACCAAGCAAAUACAUUUCUCGUUGGACCGUCUUUAUGCAUAGUACAUGUACAAGCUGUUUGCAGCAGCACAGGCAAUUGAAUUUUCAGUUGGAUGCCAUGCAAGAUGCAGCAACUUUGUUGUGAAAUCAAAAGAAUUUCCAUUUGCAUCAACUCCAGGGCUUUCUGUUCCCCGUCUUACAACACGUGUUAUACUGCUUAGGGAUCUCGAAGGCCUUGAAGGGGUUUGAACUUGUCUCCUCAUU